CAAUAGCGUAUAUUAAAGUUGUUGCGGUUAAAAAGCUCGUAGUUGGAUUUCUGUUGGGAACGACCGGUCCGCCCAUUGGGUGUGUAUCUGGCUUGUUCUCGGCAUCUUCUUGGUGAACGUUGCUGCACUUGACUGUGUGGAGCGCUACCCAGGACUUUUACUUUGAGGAAAUUAGAGUGUUUCAAGCAGGCAUAUGCCUUGAAUACAUUAGCAUGGAAUAAUAAGAUAGGACCUCGGUUCUAUUUUGUUGGUUUCUAGAGCUGAGGUAAUGAUUAAUAGGGAUAGUUGGGGGCAUUCGUAUUUAACUGUCAGAGGUGAAAUUCUUGUAUUUGUUAAAGACGGACUACUGCGAAAGCAUUUGCCAAGGAUGUUUUCAUUGA
Molecule: ribosomal RNA, 380 nt
Filed under: uncultured eukaryote
Lineage: Eukaryota
Description: partial 18S ribosomal RNA
Rfam family: Eukaryotic small subunit ribosomal RNA
Source: RNAcentral